AUACGUAGGGAGCGAGCGUUGUCCGGAAUUACUGGGUGUAAAGGGAGCGUAGGCGGGAUGGCAAGUCAGAUGUGAAAACUAUGGGCUCAACCCAUAGACUGCAUUUGAAACUGUUGUUCUUGAGUGAAGUAGAGGUAAGCGGAAUUCCUGGUGUAGCGGUGAAAUGCGUAGAUAUCAGGAGGAACAUCGGUGGCGAAGGCGGCUUACUGGGCUUUUACUGACGCUGAGGCUCGAAAGCGUGGGGAGCAAACAGGAUUAGAUACCCUGGUAGUCCACGCUGUAAACGAUGAAUACUAGGUGUGGGGGGACUGACCCCCUCCGUGCCGCAGUUAACACAAUAAGUAUUCCACCUGGGGAGUACGAUCGCAAGAUUGAAACUCAAAGGAAUUGACGGGG
RNAcentral lists this ribosomal RNA (396 nucleotides) under uncultured bacterium. Its description in RNAcentral is "partial 16S ribosomal RNA". It matches the Rfam family "Bacterial small subunit ribosomal RNA", at positions 523 to 918 of the family's 1533-position model. The record is from RNAcentral.